This is a non-coding RNA of Saimiri boliviensis boliviensis (Bolivian squirrel monkey), 1384 nucleotides long. The record is from RefSeq and is a predicted model, not a curated record. Lineage: Eukaryota; Metazoa; Chordata; Mammalia; Primates; Cebidae.
GAGAAGCUGUGCCUAGGAGGACCUGAGGUGGCAGGGCAGAAAAAGAGACAGAGAGAAGGAGAGAGAAGCCUGCUGCAGGAGCUAACUGCAUUUCCAGCAACUGUGGAGGAAUCCUGUGACAUUUUUUCCCCAAGGAAUAAACAGAUCUAUGGAGAGUGGACUAGAAGUUUUCUUCAAAGGGAAUGCACCCAAGAGACUGCCUGGAGGAGCUAAAUGAUUCGGCACACAGACCCCCAAAGAAUGUGGUGGCAUCCUGACCUUCCAAGCUGGAGAAGAGAUAUCCCUUGACUCAUGGAAGUUGCAUGUGGAUGAUGCCCGCAAAGAGAAUCUUGGAGAUACCACAAAAAGUACCUUCUGAGAGAAACAAUCAGCCUUGAGUAUGUUGAAGCCAGAAGAGCACCAGAAUCAGAUCACCACAGCCUCAGCCACAUGAAGCUGCAUACUCCCGCCACCAGAUCCCCUAGACUUUAUCUUCCCCAGGAGUCAGAAACAACAGCUAAUGGGAGAGGUGAGUGCAGCAAAGAGACUGACCCCACCGUCCCUCCCACUGCAGACUUCUGGCAUGGAAUAGGCCAAGCAGGAGAGGAGAAAGCCAUAAUGUUGGUUAAAGUGAUGGAUUUCAAUCAUUUUACUGGACAUGAUGGUUUACAGAAAUGAGGGCAUAAUUAGAUGAAAAUAACCAGAUAACUUUUCAUUAUUUCAGAGUGACCCGAAAAGCUCUGGAAGAUGCCAGAGACUUCAUCUAGGUCAGGGGAAGAAAAAACCAUAGAGAUGAUUUCAAGGUAAGGGAUAAUGUUUUCUGUUUGUGCUUUAUCAAGUUCCGUUCAUUUAAUAUACUGCUGUAAUAAUUAUAGAUACAUGUAUAUGUGUGUUGCAAUGCCCUCGGUAACGGGAAUCGGGAUAUGUGGAUUUGGGUAUGUGAUUGGCUCCUUUCCUUGGCAGGUAGAGUAAACCAGGCAAAGAAACAGUAGCCAGGCCCCUCACCAAACCAAAAGAUAGAGGAUGGGUGCCUUUCAGUCCACUAUUUUGCUGGUCUAGUCUCCCCCAGAACAGGUUGAUUAAAUGGUUGUCUACUACCUGGGAGAUUCCUGGGAACUCUGCCUGGUCCCAGAAACCAGGACAGACACCACCAGGUGGCACCAAACUGUAGCCAAACCAAAAAGAGAUUGUACUGGACCCUAAAAUUUCGCAGCCUGGGCUUUUGUUCAGUUGUGUCCAUUAAUACAAAUGAAUGAGAGACAUUUAAGUGGGGUGAUGGAAGUCUUCAACAAUUGGAUUGUGCUGCUGGCUGAACAGCUCUGUAAGUCAUUUAAUUGUACACUUCGUGAAUUUUAUGGUGUUUAUACCUUAAUAAAGCUGUUUUAAAAAAUGUAAUUAAAAAACA